GAUGGAGAACGUAGUGAAAUGCGAUACGUAAUGUGAAUUGCAGAAUUCAGUGAAUCAUCGAAUCUUUGAACGCACAUUGCGCCUGCCAGCACUCUGGCAGGCAUGCCUGUUCGAGCGUCAUUUCAACCAUCAAGCCCUAGGCUUGCGUUGGAGCCCUGCGGCUGCCGCAGGCCCCUAAAAGCAGUGGCGGGCUCGCUAUCACACCGAGUGCAGUAGAUUACUCUUCGCUCAGGGCGUGUGGCGGGUUCCAGCCGUGAAACCCCCUACUUCUCAAGGUUGACCUCGGAUCAGGUAGGAAUACCCGCUGAACUUAAGCAUAUCAAUAAGCGGAGGA
Molecule: unclassified non-coding RNA, 334 nt
Filed under: soil metagenome
Description: partial contains 5.8S ribosomal RNA, internal transcribed spacer 2, and large subunit ribosomal RNA
Rfam family: 5.8S ribosomal RNA (bases 1-120)
Source: RNAcentral